AGAGUUUGAUCCUGGCUCAGAUUGAACGCUGGCGGCAUGCUUUACACAUGCAAGUCGGACGGCAGCACAGAGAAGCUUGCUUCUUGGGUGGCGAGUGGCGAACGGGUGAGUAACAUAUCGGAACGUACCGAGUAGUGGGGGAUAACUGAUCGAAAGAUCAGCUAAUACCGCAUACGUCUUGAGAGGGAAAGCAGGGGACCUUCGGGCCUUGCGCUAUUCGAGCGGCCGAUAUCUGAUUAGCUAGUUGGUGGGGUAAAGGCCUACCAAGGCGACGAUCAGUAGCGGGUCUGAGAGGAUGAUCCGCCACACUGGGACUGAGACACGGCCCAGACUCCUACGGGAGGCAGCAGUGGGGAAUUUUGGACAAUGGGCGCAAGCCUGAUCCAGCCAUGCCGCGUGUCUGAAGAAGGCCUUCGGGUUGUAAAGGACUUUUGUCAGGGAAGAAAAGGCUGUUGCUAAUAUCAGCGGCUGAUGACGGUACCUGAAGAAUAAGCACCGGCUAACUACGUGCCAGCAGCCGCGGUAAUACGUAGGGUGCGAGCGUUAAUCGGAAUUACUGGGCGUAAAGCGGGCGCAGACGGUUACUUAAGCAGGAUGUGAAAUCCCCGGGCUCAACCCGGGAACUGCGUUCUGAACUGGGUGACUCGAGUGUGUCAGAGGGAGGUAGAAUUCCACGUGUAGCAGUGAAAUGCGUAGAGAUGUGGAGGAAUACCGAUGGCGAAGGCAGCCUCCUGGGAUAACACUGACGUUCAUGCCCGAAAGCGUGGGUAGCAAACAGGAUUAGAUACCCUGGUAGUCCACGCCCUAAACGAUGUCAAUUAGCUGUUGGGCAACUUGAUUGCUUGGUAGCGUAGCUAACGCGUGAAAUUGACCGCCUGGGGAGUACGGUCGCAAGAUUAAAACUCAAAGGAAUUGACGGGGACCCGCACAAGCGGUGGAUGAUGUGGAUUAAUUCGAUGCAACGCGAAGAACCUUACCUGGUCUUGACAUGUACGGAAUCCUCCAGAGACGGAGGAGUGCCUUCGGGAGCCGUAACACAGGUGCUGCAUGGCUGUCGUCAGCUCGUGUCGUGAGAUGUUGGGUUAAGUCCCGCAACGAGCGCAACCCUUGUCAUUAGUUGCCAUCAUUCGGUUGGGCACUCUAAUGAGACUGCCGGUGACAAGCCGGAGGAAGGUGGGGAUGACGUCAAGUCCUCAUGGCCCUUAUGACCAGGGCUUCACACGUCAUACAAUGGUCGGUACAGAGGGUAGCCAAGCCGCGAGGUGGAGCCAAUCUCACAAAACCGAUCGUAGUCCGGAUUGCACUCUGCAACUCGAGUGCAUGAAGUCGGAAUCGCUAGUAAUCGCAGGUCAGCAUACUGCGGUGAAUACGUUCCCGGGUCUUGUACACACCGCCCGUCACACCAUGGGAGUGGGGGAUACCAGAAGUAGGUAGGAUAACCGCAAGGGGUCCGCUUACCACGGUAUGCUUCAUGACUGGGGUGAAGUCGUAACAAGGUAGCCGUAGGGGAACCUGCGGCUGGAUCACCUCCUU
This 1533-nucleotide ribosomal RNA is filed under the name Neisseria polysaccharea. RNAcentral's name for it is "bacterial SSU rRNA". It matches the Rfam family "Bacterial small subunit ribosomal RNA". The record is from RNAcentral. Lineage: Bacteria; Pseudomonadati; Pseudomonadota; Betaproteobacteria; Neisseriales; Neisseriaceae.